Molecule: ribosomal RNA, 486 nt
Filed under: uncultured bacterium
Lineage: Bacteria
Description: bacterial SSU rRNA
Rfam family: Bacterial small subunit ribosomal RNA
Source: RNAcentral
GAUUUUCGCAAUGCCCGAAAGGGUGACGAAGCGACGCCGCGUGCGGGAAGAAGGCCUUCGGGUUGUAAACCGCUGUCGGGAGUUAAGAAAUGUAAGGAUGUUAAUAGCAUCUUUGCUUGACUAAGGCUCCGGAGGAAGCCACGGCUAACUCUGUGCCAGCAGCCGCGGUAAUACAGAGGCGGCAAGCGUUGUUCGGAAUUAUUGGGCGUAAAGAGCACGUAGGCGGCUAUGUAAGUCGGUUGUGAAAGCCUUCCGCUCAACGGGAGAACAGCAUCCGAUACUGCAUGGCUUGAGUGCGGGAGGGGAGAGUGGAACUUCUGGUGGAGCGGUGAAAUGCGUAGAUAUCAGAAGGAACGCCGGCGGCGAAAGCGGCUCUCUGGUCCGUAACUGACGCUGAGUGUGCGAAAGCUAGGGGAGCAAACGGGAUUAGAUACCCCCGGUAGUCCUAGCCGUAAACGAUGGGCACUAAGUAGAGGGGUUUUAAUC